Molecule: ribosomal RNA, 905 nt
Filed under: uncultured bacterium
Lineage: Bacteria
Description: bacterial SSU rRNA
Rfam family: Bacterial small subunit ribosomal RNA
Source: RNAcentral
ACGCUGGCGGCGUGCUUAACACAUGCAAGUCGAACGAAGCUGUUGUUUGGAGACCUUCGGGUGGAAGAAUAACAGACUGAGUGGCGGACGGGUGAGUAACGCGUGGGUAACCUACCUUGCACAGGGGGACAACAGUUGGAAACGACUGCUAAUACCGCAUAAGACCACAGUACCGCAUGGUACAGGGGUAAAAACUGAGGUGGUGCAAGAUGGACCCGCGUCUGAUUAGCUAGUUGGUGGGGUAAAGGCCUACCAAGGCGACGAUCAGUAGCCGACCUGAGAGGGUGAUCGGCCACAUUGGGACUGAGACACGGCCCAAACUCCUACGGGAGGCAGCAGUGGGGAAUAUUGGACAAUGGGGGGAACCCUGAUCCAGCGACGCCGCGUGAGUGAAGAAGUAUUUCGGUAUGUAAAGCUCUAUCAGCAGGGAAGAAAAUGACGGUACCUGACUAAGAAGCCCCGGCUAACUACGUGCCAGCAGCCGCGGUAAUACGUAGGGGGCAAGCGUUAUCCGGAUUUACUGGGUGUAAAGGGAGCGCAGACGGCUUGGCGAGUCUGAAGUGAAAGCCCGGGGCUUAACCCCGGGACUGCUUUGGAAACUGUGAAGCUAGAGUGUCGGAGAGGUAAGUGGAAUUCCCAGUGUAGCGGUGAAAUGCGUAGAUAUUGGGAGGAACACCGGUGGCGAAGGCGGCUUACUGGACGAUAACUGACGUUGAGGCUCGAAGGCGUGGGGAGCAAACAGGAUUAGAUACCCUGGUAGUCCACGCGGUAAACGAUGAAUACUAGGUGUCGGGGGACAUAGUCUUUCGGUGCCGCCGCUAACGCAUUAAGUAUUCCACCUGGGGAGUACGUUCGCAAGAAUGGAACUCAAAGGAAUUGACGGGGACCCGCACAAGCGGUGGAGC